RNAcentral lists this ribosomal RNA (429 nucleotides) under Bacteroidota bacterium. RNAcentral describes it as "Bacteroidetes bacterium partial 16S ribosomal RNA". It matches the Rfam family "Bacterial small subunit ribosomal RNA", at positions 355 to 776 of the family's 1533-position model. The record is from RNAcentral. Lineage: Bacteria; Pseudomonadati; Bacteroidota.
UAGGGAAUCUUCGGCAAUGGGGGGAACCCUGACCGAGCAACGCCGCGUGAGUGAAGAAGGUUUUCGGAUCGUAAAGCUCUGUUGUUAAGGAAGAACGAGUGUGAGAAUGGAAAGUUCAUGCUGUGACGGUACUUAACCAGAAAGGGACGGCUAACUACGUGCCAGCAGCCGCGGUAAUACGUAGGUCCCGAGCGUUGUCCGGAUUUAUUGGGCGUAAAGCGAGCGCAGGCGGUUAGAAAAGUCUGAAGUGAAAGGCAGUGGCUCAACCAUUGUAGGCUUUGGAAACUGUUUAACUUGAGUGCAGAAGGGGAGAGUGGAAUUCCAUGUGUAGCGGUGAAAUGCGUAGAUAUAUGGAGGAACACCGGUGGCGAAGGCGACUCUCUGGUCUGUAACUGACGCUGAGGUUCGAAAGCGUGGGUAGCAAACAGG